AUGAGUAGUAUCACUCUAUCCAUCUGCUUGUGGAAUGUAAGAGGACUAGGCGAUGAAUCAAAAUGUGAUGAUAUCCUUUCCGAACUAAUCAGUAUCAACCCUCAUUGUGCCCUCUUACAAGAGUCAAAAUUAAACGACAUUAACGACCAAAAAUUCAACUCCUUCCUGCCACGAUCUCUGGACCAAAGAAUCUUCCUACCUGCGGACGGCUCGGGCGGCGGAAUGAUUUCCGCCUUUAACAAAAACUUUUUCUCUCUAAUCUCCUACUCUUAUCAUCAGUACGCCACAUCCAUCAAAAUCACGUCACUCGCUCACCCCCUUCCCUUUGUCAUCACAAACAUCUAUGCACCUUCACGUCGCAACCUCAAACAGGCCUUCCUAGACGAGCUCAAACUAAUCAAGGAAGAUGACCAAAUUCCUUGGCUGAUUGUAGGAGAUUUCAACCUGGUACGUUUUUCCCAUGAAAAAAAUAACCGCAACUUCCGCCAACGGGAAGCUGAUGCCUUCAACUCCACGAUCAACGACCUAGCAUUAAUCGAACUACCCCUACUAGAUAGAUGCUUUACCUGGACCAAUAAACGAGCUUCACCAACCCUAGAACGACUAGACCGUGCUUUUUUCAACCUGGCCUGGAAUAAUUGCUUCCCCAAUACAACUCUGUCAUCUCUACCACGGAUCACAUCUGAUCAC
RNAcentral lists this ribosomal RNA (690 nucleotides) under Triticum aestivum (bread wheat). Its description in RNAcentral is "partial small subunit ribosomal RNA". The record is from RNAcentral. Lineage: Eukaryota; Viridiplantae; Streptophyta; Magnoliopsida; Poales; Poaceae.